CAAUAGCGUAUAUUAAAGUUGUUGCAGUUAAAAAGCUCGUAGUUGAAUUUUUGCUUGCCGCCGAUGUCGGAACUUCCGUACGUUCGGCGGCGUGCAUCCUUGGGUGGAACCUGUGUGGCAUUAGGUUGUCGUGCAGGGGAUGCUCAUCGUUUACUGUGAAAAAAUUAGAGUGUUCAAAGCAGGCUUAUGCCGUUGAAUAUAUUAGCAUGGAAUAAUAAGAUAGGACCUUGGUACUAUUUUGUUGGUUUGCGCACCGAGGUAAUGAUUAACAGGGACAGUUGGGGGUAUUCGUAUUCCAUUGUCAGAGGUGAAAUUCUUGGAUUUAUGAAAGACGAACUUCUGCGAAAGCAUUUACCAAAGAUGUUUUCAUUAA
RNAcentral lists this ribosomal RNA (373 nucleotides) under uncultured eukaryote. RNAcentral describes it as "partial 18S ribosomal RNA". It matches the Rfam family "Eukaryotic small subunit ribosomal RNA", at positions 592 to 976 of the family's 1831-position model. The record is from RNAcentral.